RNAcentral lists this long non-coding RNA (21593 nucleotides) under Vitis vinifera (wine grape). RNAcentral describes it as "long non-coding RNA (VVIN_LNC007471)". Lineage: Eukaryota; Viridiplantae; Streptophyta; Magnoliopsida; Vitales; Vitaceae. The record is from RNAcentral.
GCGCCGUUGACUCAGUCUGUCCUCAGCCUCCUCUCCGCCGCUUUCCUCCUUGGCUUCCUCUCUGAUCCGGCCGCUGCUCGUCCCUGCAAAACCCUUUUCAUCUCCUCCUACUCCGUAUCCUUCCACCCCAAUUUCCCCGAUCAAAAUAACCCUAACUCCGCAGGCACCGCCGGAAUUCUCACGAUUUUCACUGAGAUCCGGCAAUUUAACCCCCGUCCGCCGCUCACCUUCGUCGACGCCGUCGAGGAUCAGCACCCGAUCGAGCGUCCGCCGCGAUUUGGCCUCGGUCUAGGGUUCGACUCCGACUCCCUCCGCGACCGCACCAAGGACGUGCUCAGCGUUGUUGUGGCGCUGCUCUUCGGCGUCGGCUGUGGCGCUCUCACCGCCGCAACCAUGUACUUGGGUUGGUCGCUCUUCUCCAACCGCCACCGCUACUCCGACUUCGAUUACGAUGACUUUGAGGAUGAUGACGUUGACAUGAGCCCUAAGAAGGUGGGCUAUGUGAGGAUCCCUCCUCCUGCUGAUGCCUCUACUCCCGUGGCAAAAGAGGCGGUAUGAGGCACAGAAAAAUUAGGGUUUUAAUGCUUAAUGCCUAGUGUUUUGCGUUUCUGAACCAGGUGCUAUUUGCUAUGUUAUUAUGAAUUAUAUUGCUAAAAAUGUGGGUACUUAUAUGGUUUUGUGUUUCUCAAUCACAUCUAUAACUAUGCUUUGUGUAUAUUUAUCAUCUAAUACAUUGAAUGCUUGUUUUAUUUAAUUUUUUUCUUUCGCUUGGGCUUCGAUUAUUUGGAAGGAAAAAUUGUUCUCUGACAUAUGUUCGAUUAAUCUUCUUUUUUUUUUUGUAUGAGAAGCUUUUUGGUUGAAACAAAUGGGGCCUUGGUCUGGUUUCUUUUAUUUAAUUGCAGGUUGUAUACCUUAAGGUUGAUGGUGCGGUGAUUUUGUAGUUUUCCUAAAGUUGAUGAUUGCGUAAUUUUGCCCUUUUGUCGGAGUUUGUUGUAGUAGAUGAUGUUGUGAUUUUGUAGUUUUGCACGAAUGAUCGACUACUUUUUUCCAUUAUCUUUAUGUGUUGUGACCAAAUUUUUAACAUGCUUGAUUUUCAGCAAGUGUUUGUGAAAAUAGCAAGAUUUUGGCCAUAGGCUGUUUCAGGGAAGGGGAUUGCAUUUUCAUUUUAGUUUUCAUUCUUUUGCUUUACUCCCUUUAGCAGGUGAAGUAGUGACCAUGCGUCCUUUUGUUUUCCAUAAUGAGAUUGACUUGUAUUGAGAUAUAGCUAUUGGAUAUAUAUUUUUCGGGCACUUAAUAAUAUUAUGUUCAAUCUAUUGAUGAAAUUUAGUAAUAUAUAUAUAUAUAUAUAUAUACAUAUAUAUCUCAUAUGGAAAAUUGACACGACAUUGUCUUGUCAACACUUAUUGAUGGAACUGUUUUUCACUAAAAAAUUCCCGAGGCUGUACUCAUUUUUCUGGAGCUGCAACCACUCUCCAACUAUCAAAUGCCUCUUUCAGCUUCGAUUUAGAACUUAACUUUCUAAUAAGAGAUUUUUGUUGCAUAGAAACUUAAGGAUGGAUUCCUUAUGUUGCAUGAGCAUUCAAGGCAGAUCUUCAAAUCAACUUGGCUAUCAUUUUUCAAUUAUUUUUUUUAUGCUUUAUUUUACUUUUUAAAGAAAUUAUAUUAAUUUCCUUGUCUUUAUGUGGUAUAAAUGACCAGGAUUAUAAAAGAUUGAUAUAUUUUUAGUAAUGAGGAGCCUACAUUAUAUAUUAACAUAGGCUUCGAAUUGAAUUAAAGGCCUUUCUAGAAUCAGGGGUAGGAUUAUGUAUGGGAUAGUGUUCUUUCUAGGAAGAUUACUGUUCUUUCUAUUUUAGUUUUUUUUUUCUUUGGGGGGUUGGUUUGGUCGAGUAUUCUUCUGGUUUUGUACUUGUUUUCCUUCUUUGCAUCACCUCUAGUAGUCUUGUAUCUUGCAAUAGCAUCCCAAAUUCACAAUUACAUGUUUGGUGAUUUUCAUGUGGCUUUGCAUGUGUGGUUCCUAGUAGGAACAUUAGAAGGAAAGUGGCCAAUCUUUUUGACAGACCUGGUAAUACUGUAAUGAAGAGAAACAAAUAGAAAGGAGUAAAAGGAAAUCAACAAACACCUUGGUGUCAAUGUAACAUAGUAACUUUCCAUGACCAUACAGUAAAUCCGGUAAUCUUUCGGGGGUUUUAGCAUGUCCAUGAACUGUCUUAAAAUUCUAGAGUGGGACUUCCAGUUCAAGAUAAUGGCAAAAGUAACAGAAUGAUGUUAAGUGAAGUACUAACUGACUUGGAACUUCAUUGUCGUGGCUCCCUAAUUAUUAGGGAGCAGGUCUUAUAGUUUUUACAGUGGAGGUUAUUAUGCUUGGGAAAGGUUUCUCUAUCAUCCAAUAGUCAAUAAGGCCUGUUUUCUUAAUAGUUAAAGUGAUGUUGAGGGAGUCCUAGAGGCAUUUGAGCUAAAGAUUGGAGAUCAUGAUCUGUUGUACAAGAUGUUUGGAAGAUGCUCAAAGAACUGAUUCAGAGAUCAGGAUAUUUCAGACCUGUCCAGAAGGCAAUAUGGUUGCAUAUUUGAAGCCAAAUUAGGCACAGCUAGCUUAGGAAUUUUAUUUGGGCUUGCGGCUUUCCAAGUGGGGUCAUUCUGCAUCUUGCCCAUGAUCUUUUAGGCUGGGCGUUUCCCCAUUCUUUUUCUGUUUGUGAUGGGAUCUGUGAAAUGGUAUUUUAUGAAAGAAGAAAAUGCGACAAGCACAUAAUGAAGCUUUGUCUUAAAAAUUCUUUGAAAUUUUUAAGGGAACCUUUGAGGCAUGGAAAUAAUUAGCUGCAGAAGGUUUCUAUGGGAUUUACAGUCACAGAAGAAUGCAUUGAAAGUAUGUUCCAUCACUCAAAUGUUUGUCAUGCUGCUUGUAAUUCUAUUUCAGCCAGGAUUCUAUUGACUAUGCAGUAAAUACAUCAUUAUGCUCCGGUUGUUGGUGCUAGAAUUCCUUAUGGGGUUUGUCCAUUCAAAUUAGAUGUUGAGAUUUUUCCUUAUAAGAGAUAUCACUGUUUUGGCACAUUCAUUAGUUUGAGGUGAUUUUGACCUUUUAAUUAAUUGUAUUUUGGGAGUGCUUCUGAUGUCAAUGCAAUUAGUGGUUUUUGAUUAUCCUGAACUUGAUAAGGAGUUGUUUACCUGUAAUUUUGCUCGAACUGUUGCUUACACCAGUUGUUCAGGGUUAAACCAGCUUUGUUUCAGUAUUUUGCUUCAUUUAGGGCCUAAAUGUAUGCCAUACCAUACAUGGGUACUUUUAGGGUAAUGCUGACAAGGAGUUAACUAAAGGCUUCACUAGUUAUUAGCCUAAUAGAAACCUUUUCCUGUGUUGCUGUUGUUUAUCUACUCUAUUAGAGAUUGGAAUCUUUACAAUCUGUCUGCUCUGUGCUAAGAAUAACUUUCUUAGAGCCAAAUGCAGAUAAAUUGAGUGGAGAGAUCUACACCUGCACUUUCUGUUUUGUUGACUGAUUCGGCCUUUCUAAAUUUCCUUCAUGGUUGAGGCAAUUUGCAAGAUAAUUUCUGAGGUGGUGGUGGGGGCCCCUUGUUCCACAAUUUCCAUGUUUGUUUCCCCCUGAUUCUAAGUUGAAGUUUAGAGUAACUGUGGUUGAGUGGGUUGUAUUUGUCUUGAAAUUCGCAAUCUGAGAUGUAAUCUGGCAAAAUAAAUACUAGAUUUAGGUAGGUGGUGAACUCAUAGCAGCUGCUAAUAAGGACUCUUGCGUUCUUUUCAGUCAACUUUUAUGUGAGGCAUUAUGGAAAACUGUCUUGAGUCUCACUGGACUUCAUUUCCUGUUUGACUAUAAACUAGACAAUUAAUUUUCCACUUGGUGAAUAGAAAAAUAUACAGGGGAAAAAUAAUUUGGAUCUAGUAUUUGCCUCAUUUCCACUGAGAAAGCACUCCUUUGGCUAGCUUUGGGGAUUUGAUGAAUGGACAAUCUAGAGAGUUGCUGUGUUCUUAAAACAUUGGAUUCAAUUUAGAAUGCUGAGAUUUGAGUGAUCUUAUGUGCUGUUGGUGGUGCUUAUGCCAAUGUAAGGGAAAUAUGAUGCAGUGUUAGGAAUAGAAUUGAGAUGUGAAUAUGCAAUAGGAUUAUAUUUUGGGAGUAUGUGUGUGGAGCAAUAUGGCUCUGAUUGUGCUGACUUCGAAUGUAGGAGGUUGUUCAAGGAAAACAGGUUUUUGUUAUGUGUUUGUCAGGGUGAAUUGAAGAGACACAAGACUCUGUUGUCAUUCUUUCCUGUAGGAUUCAGCUGCAUAACCCCUGAUCUUAGUACUAGUACUGUGCUUCUCAUUCUACUCCAGUACACAGAGUUCGAGAUUUAGAUCUGAAUCUGUUGAUGUAUGAUAUGUCAAAAUCUUGAAGCAAUUGUCUUGAAAAGGAUUAGUGAUUAUAUGCGUUGCAUGCUGAAACUUCAAUAAGUAAAUUUAUACUCUGAAGAUCAUAAAGCAAAUGAAGCAAAUAUAUAAAAUAUAGCAAUGAUUCAAUUGUUAUACAGUUUCAAAAGAUCCAUCUAAAUAAUUAAAUCUAUAGAAUAUAGCAAAGUAUCCAUCUUGAAACAGGAAAAAACACAACCCCUUGUGCAAUCAAACUGCACAAUAGUGUUUGAAUGGAAACUAACCAUUCUGAAGCUCAAAUUGAUUGUACUGCCAUGUUUAUAUUGAUUAUUGUGAGCUAUAAUUGAUUAUGUAAGGAUGUUGGUGGCUGAUAAAAAAUUGAAAUGAAGCCUUAGAGUUGAAGGAGAGUUUUGGAAACUUUUACAAAUCUGUUUUGAAUGGGAAAGAAUAUUAAUUUUGUUUUUCUUAUUAUUAGUGGGAAAUCUUUGUUGGAUUUUUUUUUUUUUCUUUUCCUGAAAUUUUCAAUGUCUUUGUAGGGUAACUUCAUCCGAAGAAUCUUUUAUUGCUAUUCUGGAUUUUAAUUGCAGUAUAGGUAGGAUGCCCAAACUCAGACCCAAGUCCCCACUUGUCAGCAUUGUGAUGGACUCCAGCACAAUUAGUAUAGCAGGGGAAGGACAAUGGGAGCCUCUUGGCACCUUGAAUUUGCAUUUGGUCAAGUUUCAGUCAACAAUUUUUGCAGGCUGAUAUUUGACCAUCUGAGCAUGCAUUUGGUUUGUAACACAAGAUAUUGUACUGUUGACCAGCUGAGUAGGUAAUUGGUAAAGAGCACAUCCCUGGUAAUCCCACUGUUUAUUCCUUAUUUUAUGCAAGGCAUUUUCUGUUAGUCCAGGGUCGAGGCUGCUUCUCAUUCCCCUGCUUUUGUUUCCUUGAAAAUGGCUUUGUUCCUAUGGACCAUUCUGCUUUCUUGUAUUAUCAAGUGCAAUCUGCAUUCUUGUAUUAGAAGAAUGAGGACAUUAAGGAACUGAAGCACCACAAUAAGAUGUCAUGUUCCCCUUUAGUUUCUAGAUGUGCCUCAGCUGUUAGUCUCUUUAUGCUAUGCAUAUUCAUAUUGUUCCCACCCUCUUUGGGCCUCUCACUCAGAAAUUUGCUCAUUAUCUGCCAAACUCCUCCAACCCCCAAGAUGAGAAUUUCAGUUUUCUACAUCCUGAAAUCAUAAGGCACUGAGUUAUGCAAACUAGGGGGAAGAGAGCUGUAUAUGGUUAAAUGCUGAAAAGCUGUGCUUGUUUUGGGUAGCAUAACUAGAACUAAAACAAAGCAAAUAGCAUCUUCUUUUCAAUAGCCCCCACUAGUCUUUUCAAGUGUUUACAUACCUACAUUUUGAUUUGCCUUGGCAUUUGAAUGGCAUAACAAAGCUGCUGAUGCUGCCCCUUCAUGACCAUUAACAUAAACCCUUGCGAGCUACACUUGCUAUUCUUUCUGCUAAUUUCUAGUUUCAAAUGCAACAAAAGGUCAAAAUAGGUCUGUAUGAUUUGCUGGAUAUUAGAGAAGCCAUGUAGUUGAUUUGCUCAAUUGUGUCUUUAUCCGUUGAAGAAAUACAGUUUCUAACAAGAUGAAUUAUAUCUUCACGAACUUACAACACUAGAUGAGCCUUAAGAUUUCGAGAACUCCUCUGUUAAGCACUGGAAAUACACUAAUUAAUUGUAUGAACGUAUUUUUUUUUAGAAAUUUGUUAGUUGGGGGGAUCGCAGAUCGAUUAGGAAAAGAUGUUUUCAGCAUUUCUACUGUGCUUUAUUUUUUAAGCUUAUAGAAGUAUUUUAAAGCUACUGGGAUUUUGAACAUAUGAGAGGAGUUUUAGAUUAAAAAUAAAUUAACUAUUUUAACUUAAUAUUUAAAAUUAUUUUUAUUUUAAAUUAUAAUAUUAAGUUUUUUUACCAAUCGCAGUUAAUAUAUUUAAUGACUUAAAUUAAGUCAUUAAACCAUUAAGUUGAUUUACCAAACAAUUCACUAAAUGUCACAAAACCAUACCAAAAACAAGCAUUCCACACUAUGUGUAAUGAGAAAGCAUAAAUUGCCUGAUCAUUAGCUUCCAUACACUCUCAUUGCUGACCUUAAUCACAUUCCAGCAAAGCUAGAACGCAUUCCAUUUUCUAUUGCUACUAGUUUCCCUUUAUUCCUUUUUGUCUUUUCUCUUUCGUUAGAAGUUAUACUUGUUCAUAUGUUCCCUGGAUCACAAAUUUUGUAUGAAAGAAGAAUCAAAGCAUACUACACAGGCAAACAUAGAAGUAAAUAAAUAAAUAUAGACAUACAAGUCCAAGCAUGAGAAGAUAGAGGCAUAAAACACAAGCCAAGCAUAUGCGAAUCUGAAGAUGACAUAAGGCCUAACUCUCAGAAUCAUCCAAAAAUCAGAAGAGGAGGAAGGCCUAAUCCUGCCUCAACAUCAUCAAACAUCUGCAUUGUUGAUUUGUUUGGAAAUAUGUAGAGCAAUACAUCCAUGAGGGCCAAACCUUGAAUCAUUUUCAGCUUUGUUUCUUAAUCACCAUGGCUUAUUGCCAAAAGCAGGGCUUCCCUUCGAGCGAUACAUUCUUGCCACCGCAGAAGCAUUCUCCACACAACCCUUGGAAUCUCUACUAAUCCAAUCUACAGCUCUGAAUCCUCUGACAUCUGGCUUGUAACCAUCAAAUUGAGUUCCAAAUCAUAAAUAACAGAGCAUUCCCAUUAAAUUCCAAUGCAUUUCAACCUAUUAACAUUGUUUAAGGGUAAUAGGACAACCAACAAUUAGACACAAAAUUAUUGAUCUUAACAAGUUUUCUGGUAGUAAAUUUCUUAAUGACCAACAAGGUUUUAGAGUAUCACCCUUGCACACAAAUCUCAUUAGGAUGUUCCACAUAUUCUGAAACAUGAUUGCAUUCUUUUCCAAUUAAACCAAUCAACAGCAACCAUGAUAUUGAAGAAAAAAAUAUAUAUUUGAUUUUAUCCCAAAUAUCAACAUUAAGCAGCAAGAAAGAAUAUAUAUAUAUAUAUAUAUAUAUGAUCAGUAUCUUGGAGAUUAAAAUAACAAGCAACACAAUUUGUGGGAAUAUGUCAACCUCUAGAACUAAGGAAGCAUCUAGCAUGAAUACUUUAAGAAUAAGAAGCCGACUCCAGAUAAGCAUAUCAACUUUAGAAUGAGGCUUCCAGUUCCAUACAGUUGAGUGGAGAGGGAAUUCAUCUUAUCAGAGAAACUCCAAUAGACCUCCUGAUUUUCAGAGGCAAGUCAUCAAUCCUGUUCUCAAAAGUUCUUGGCUUUCAUGGAGAUGCCUAAGAGAAACACAGUGGAUUCAAAUGCUUUCUAAAACAAGCAGUGGGUUGGGCUUGAAUUUAAAGAAGGCAAUCACUUCCUUGAUGUCAGAGAUCUACCCAUGUUCUGACAGGAAAAAAGACAUUCCAGAAAUGGUGAAUUCCUCAAGUAGAUUACUUUGAACUGAAAUGCCUCUUAAUCAAGUAUGAUGUUGGUUUUGUACCUGUUGCUGCAGUUGAUAAGCAAGUUGUUUAAUGUGUAAGGUGCUAGAAAAGAUUCCCUAGAAUACAUUGGAACCGUUGAUGCAGGUUCUGGUGCCUUUUGAAUCACUUCUGCUGGUGCUGCCACAGCUGUUGAAGAUGCUGGAAAAGCCAUAAACUUGAUUUUUGUUUUAGAGAGCAUACAUUUAUAUCCUUCAAACUGAUAAUAUUCUCUUCCCAACAACUUUGAAUCAAAUCUGCAACACAUCCAGGGAGAUGAUCUUCAAGCAGCUUGCAAAUUCAGAUUGCAGGCUCUGUCUCAGCCAUUCUAAGCAGUUAUUUUAAAUAGUAAUUUUUAGGUAAUCAAUAAUAAUAAUUUUUAGCAAAUUGUAAUUAUGACAAAUGCUGCUUAGCUAUUCUAGAAAAUUACUAUCCAUGCCAUUGUGGCAUGGCACUUGUUUCUAUUUAGGUUUAUAUGAGUAUUUCCUAUGUUGCAAUUUCUAGCAUUUUUCUGAUUUUGAGAAUUGAGUCUUUGGUUACUCUAUCGGGUAGAAUUGUUCUUAAAGGUCUUUAACUUGCCUUGGAAGUUUGGUAAGUUGUAUAAAUAAGGUCCAUGCCACCAAAAUAACAAAAAAAUUUCAAACAAAUAAAAUUGAGUUUGACUUGAGCUAGUCUUAAAAUCCAAGAGCUUGUUUUGGAAGUGUUUUUAAAAACAAUUUUCUGUUCUUAAUAACAAAAAACUAUUUUACAGACUAGAAAAUUUUCUAAACUUGAAAACACAUUUUGACAUUAUUUUUUAUUUUCUUUUUACAAAAUAAAGUUUUUUGAAAACUUGUUCUAAAAACAAGUAUUUUUUUAAAACAUAAUUUAGUUAUUUUCAAUUGUUUUCACUUGUUUUCUGAAGAAUUUCUGAAUUCCUUUUAUUGAUUUUUUAGGUACACACCAUACACAUAUAUAUACACAAAUGACUGAAUAAGAAAAUAUCAAUCUAGCUUGAUUCUCUCCUAAAAUUAGGAAACUGAAUCAUCCUAAAUGAUCUCUCCUUUUUUAUUCCUAAAAUACUUUCCUAAAUUAAAAUCCUAACUUUGAAUGCCAAAUUUCAACACUCCCCCUCAAGCUGGAGAAUAUAUAUAUCAUAUAAUCUCAACUUGCAAGUUAAGUCUUCGAAGUUAGGCCUAGGUAAAGCUUUGGUGAGGAUGUCUGCGGUUUGGUGCUUGGUAGGAACAUAGUUCAAUUUAACGGUCUCACUAGUCACCUUCUCUGUGAUGAAGUGUCUGUCAAUCUCAACAUGCUUGGUCCUGUCAUGAUGCACGGGGUUCUUUGCUAUGCUUAUAGCUGCCUGAUUAUCACACAUCAUCAGAAUUGGAGAUGAACUCGUUUGUCCCAGUUCACUAAGAACCCUUUUUAUCCAAAUCCCUUCACAGAUUCCCUGUGCAAGAGCUCUGUACUCAGCUUCUGCACUACUUCUGGCUACAACUGAUUGCUUCUUACUCCUCCAGGUAACAAGAUUUCCCCAAACAAAAGAACAAUAUCCAAAAGUGGACCGCCUGUCAAUGAUGUUUCCUGCCCAAUCCGCAUCUGAGUAUACUUCAGUGUCACGGUUCUCUGUCUUUCUGAAGAAUAGACCUUUCCCUGGUGUCAUUUUUAAAUAUCUAAGAAUCCUGUAGACUGCUUCCAUGUGUUCCUCAGUGGGGCUGUGCAUGAAUUGACUUACAGCACUCACUGCAAAGCCAAUAUCUGGCCGAGUGUGUGAGAAAUAAAUCAAGUGCCCGACAAGCCGCUGAUAUCUCCCCCUGUCUACCGGUGUACUUUCUUUCUCGAUACCAAGUUUCUUCUGGCUAUCCAUAGGAGUAUCAAUUGGUUUGCAUCCAAGCAUACCGGUCUCCUUAAGAAGAUCGAGUAUGUAUUUUCUUUGAGAGACUACAAUUCCCUUCCUUGAUCUAGCCACUUCCAUACCAAGGAAAUAUUUCAAAUUUCCAAGGUCUUUAACUUCAAACUCUUCUGACAAAUACUUCUUCAACUUCUGUAAUUCCUCCAUAUCAUUCCCAGAUAGAAUAAUAUCAUCGACAUAGACUAUCAAUAUGGCCAUUUUCCCGGCAUGAGACUUCUUGACAAAUAGAGUAUGAUCAGCCUGACCUUGUUUGUAGCCUAGCUUCAGGACUGCCUUUGUGAAUCUAUCAAACCAGGCUCGGGGAGAUUAUUUUAGGCCGUACAAGGAUUUUUGGAGUUUGCAAACCUGAUUCUUUGCCAUACCUUCUUCGAAACCAGGUGGUAUUUCCAUGUAGACUUCCUCUUCUAGGUCACCAUUUAGAAACGCAUUUUUUAUGUCCAGUUGUUGCAAGCACCAAUCUUGAUUGACAGCCAAUGAGAGAAGAAUCCUAAUAAUGUUCAGUUUUGCAACAGGAGCAAAAGUCUCCUGAUAGUCUAUCCCAUAGGAUUGUGUAAACCCUCUAGCUACCAAACGAGCCUUGAAUCUCUCGACUAAUCCAUCUGCUUUGUAUUUUAUGGUGAAAAUCCACUUGCACCCCACAGGCCUCUUCCCAACCGACAAAUCUGUGAUAGUCCACGUCCCAUUCUUCUCAAGUGCAUCAAUCUCAUCUUGUACUGCCUUCUUCCAUUCUGAAAUUUUUAAUGCCUCUUGUAUUGUGUUGGGAACCUGAGUAUCAUCAAGAGAAGUAGCAAAUGCUCUGUAAGAUGGUGAUAGCCCUUCAUACGUAACAUAAUUCCCAAUUGGAUGAUCUGUACAUCUCCUAACACCCUUCCUCAAUGCAAUCGGCAGAGUAGAAUCAUCAAUGCUGGGAAUUAACACCUCUCCAGCCCUAUCCUCACCUAUGUUCUCUUCAGGAAGACUUGAAUUGGAGUCAAUAUAUUGGCCACAUGUUGACUGUGAUCCGUGCUCUAAUUCCUGUCUUUUCCUCCUCCUGAUGUAAACUUGUAAGUUCUCAUUAGCAAGUUGUGGGGCUAUAGGUUGAAUAGGCAUGGGAGACUGGAUGGUCACGGGAGAAGGAACAUUUGUGUGCUGGGCUGGCUGGACUAAUGACGGCAUGGGUGUGGACAACUCAGUGGGCGCGAACUGGGAAGGAUUUGGUGACUCUGAGUGACAAGAAGGUACACCCUCAAGAAGAGACUCCCAAACUUGAUGUUCAUUCAUGCUCUCCCCCUGAACAUGAGAUUUGGGAUAGAAGAAGACAUGUUCAAAAAAAGAGACGUCCAUGGUGGUGUAAAAUCUUUUGUUGGUUGGAGAAUAGCAUUUGUACCCUUUUUGGGUUGGAGAAUACCCUAGGAAAAUGCACUUAUUGGCUCGAGGAGCAAAUUUGCUGCGAUUUUGAGGAUACACAUGAACGAAUGCCGUGCAUCCAAAUACUUUGAGUGGUAUAUCAGAAGAGGCUGCACGGGUGUGAGGAAAUUGUUUUAAGAAAAGUUAACGUGGGGAUUGAAAGGUAAGCACUCUGGAUGGCAUACGGUUAAUCAAAUAGGUAGCUGUGAGAAUAGCUUCCCCCCAGAAAUAGUUUGGAACAUUAGAGGAAAACAUAAGGCACCGGGCAACCUCCAAGAGAUGUCUAUUCUUGCGUUCAGCCACCCCAUUUUGUUGUGGGGUGUCAACGCAAGAACUUAUGUGGAUAAUGUCGUGAUUUUGAAGAUAAGUACUGAGACUACUAGUAAAGUAUUCCUUUGCAUUAUCUGACUUGAGGACUUGAAUUUUGGAAUUGAAUUGAUUUUGAACCAUAAGAUUGAAGGUUUGAAAAAUGUGCCCGACCUCUGACUUUUCUUUCAUAAGGAAAACCCAUGUUACCCGUGUAUGAUCAUCAACGAAUGUCACAAACCAUCGAUUGCCAGAAAUAUUUUUUAUCCGGGAGGGACCCCACACAUCACUAUGUACUAGAGAGAAAACAGUCGAAGGUUUGUAUGGGAUUUGAGGAUAUACUGUUCGAGUAUGCUUUGCAAACUGACAAAUUUCACAGUGAUAAGAUGCUGGAUUUUUAUUGAUAAAUAAUUUGGGAAACAAUUUUGCAAGGUAAACAAAGCUAGGAUGACCAAGGCGAUAGUGUAACAUUAUAAUCUCACUAUCUUUAUUGACCUUAGAAUUUGACACAGAAUUGAAAGACUCUAACAUACUCUGAGACUGUACGCAAUUUGCUUGAGAGACUUGGUUUGAGAAUUGGCCACAUGAGAAGAGGUAGAGCCCGGAACACAGUUCAGCACUGCCAAUCAUCUUCCCCGAUUUCAAGUCCUGAAAAACACACGAGUUUGGAUAGAAUUUAGUAACACAUUGGAGAUCACGGGCCAAUUUGCUAAUGGACAAAAGAUUACAAUCCAAGUUUGGAACAUGGAGGACAGAGUCAAGAUAUAAGUCUUUAGUAAGUUUUAUAGAACCUGUCCCGACAAUUUUUGACUUUGAACCAUCAGCAAUAUGGACGGAUGAAUGAACAUUACUUGGCUUGUAAUUUUGAAGAAUGGCAGCAUCUCCUGUCAUGUGAUCAGAAGCACCUGUGUCCACUAUCCACGGCUUCAUUCCUCCUCGAUUAGCAGUGAAGGCUAUCCCAGUAGUACUGCCACUGCCAACUUGACUUAAUAGUUUUUGUAGCAUCUCCAUCUGCUCUUUGUUGAAUGGACUCGACUCGGGAACAGAUGUGCUCUCAGAGUUGGCAGCCACGUGUGCUCUGCCAUCUCUGUCAGACCGUGGCUUUGGUUUCCAAUCAGCCGGUUUGCCAUGAAGCUUCCAGCAAGCCUCCUUAUAAUGGCCUGGUUUCUUAUAAUAAUCACACCAAGGCCUAUCCCGUUUCUAACGAUCUCCACCACUACUAUUAAAUGACCGAGCAGCAAGGGCAGAGGCAUCCAAUGUUGGGGCAGGUUGCUCUUUGGAUCCCAUCAUCACUUUCUUUCUACUUUCUUCACGCCUAACCUCUAAAAAAGCCUCCUGAGACUUGGAAGGGGUUUAAUGCCCAUGAUUCGGCCUCUAACAUCAUCCAAUUCCCUGUUUAGUCUUAGGAAAAACUUGAACAGUCUCUUUUGUUCCACAAUUUUCCUGUAUGUUGUUGUAUCAUCCGAACAUUUCCAUGAGUGAGUCUCGAAUAAGUCAAGUUGCUGCCAAUACCUUGUGAGUGUGUUGUAAUACUGAGUAACUGACUGCUCUCCUUGGCGGAAGUCAUGUAAGGCUGAUUCAACCUGAAAAAGUUCUGAAGUAUUUUCAGAACUUGAGUAAGUUUCUUUGGCUGCAUCCCAGAUGUCCUUUGCAGUCCUAAACAGCAAAAAAAUUUCACCUAUGUCAUUGUUCAUGGAAUUGAUAAGUCAUGACAUGAUCAUGCUGUUUUCAAUCUUCCACUUCCUGAAACCCGGUUCUGUAGUUUCUGGCAUGGCUGCUUCUCCAGUGAGGUACUCAUCCUUUCCUUUACCGCAAAUGAACAGCAACACAGAUUGUGACCACUGUAAAUAGUUAUGGCCACUUAAUUUGUGUCCUGUAAUGAGAAUAGGAGAGGAAUCAUUGCCACCAAGGUUUGGAAUUUCAGAUCUGCCCCCUGAUUCUGGUGACGUGACGCUGGAUACUUGUAAUGAUGCCAUUCCGUAUUUUGUCAUGGACCGGAAAGGUAGAAGAACACUUCCCAAGGCACGUGCAAGGAUUGGAGUUGAGAAAAAAUAGUCGGAGGACGUCGGAAAAACUGAUCAGAGGGCCCGCGGAGGCAAAAGAACCCCAAAAGAGGCACGUGCAGGGCUCGGAUGGCAGAAACAGGUAAGAAGGGUGGCUGGUCGGCGUCAGGCGAGCCUGGAGGAGGAAGCGCGUCGCCGGAAAGUGGCUCACGCGCCGGCGCGUGAGAUGCAGUCGCCGGCCGGAAAAACGCGCGUGGCCGGCGCGUAGAUGGUUUUCUGGCUCCGGUGCUUUGGGAAAAAUUGGAGAUCUCCUCCAGGCGGUCCUUGUGGUGUAGAAAAAACCGUCGCCGGGAAAGUUCGCCGGAAAAGUUCGCCGGAAAAGUUCACCGGAAAAGUUGCCGGCGGUGAAUGUUUUCUGACAACGAUUCGACCGACCGGAAAGCGUUUUCUCCCUUGGCUCUGAGAACAAGGACUGAUGACCGGAAUGAGAGAUGGCCAGAGAGAGAGAUGGUCGGAUUGAGAGAUGGCCAGAGAGAUUUGGCCGAAAUGAAUGAUGGCCUGAAUGAGAGGUGGCCAGAAGGGAUUAGGGUUUCAGAAAACUGGCUCUGAUACCAUGAAGAAUUUCUGAAUUCCUUUUAUUGAUUUUUUAGAUACACACCAUACACAUAUAUAUACACAAAUGACUGAAUAAGAAAAUAUCAAUCUAGCUUGAUUCUCUCCUAAAAUUAGGAAACUGAAUCAUCCUAAAUGAUCUCUCCUUUUUUAUUCCUAAAAUACUUUCCUAAAUUAAAAUCCUAACUUUGAACGCCAAAUUUCAACAAAGGGAUGUUUUAAAAUAUAAUUGUACAAAUAUCGAGAAUGGUUGAAAAUAAAACAUUAUAGAUAAAAAUUAUUUUUGAGAAAUAUUUCAAAAAAAUAGAAAACAAGUUGAGAAUAUUCUAAAUUUCCAAACAUACUUUUUAUUUUAGAAAAUAUCAUAGAACUGGUUUUGAAAACUAUUUUAAAAAGUUGUUCUUUGAUAAUUGUUUUUUUAAAACGUUCCUAAACAAGCCCCAAUCUCUCCCUUUCAAUAAUUCUUCGCUCCACUUGUUCAUUCUCAAGUAAUCUCCAUUCUUCUUCCUCCAUAAAAAAUUUUCUUACUUAUACACACAUAUUUUACGGUCUUUUUGUAAGACAAUCUUAGCCUUAAGGUUUUGAAGGCCAUCCUACAUCAAUUGGCUUCCAGCCAUCAGGUCCUUAAGCUACGUGAUGAGGAAAAAAGUCAAAGAAUUAUGGAAGAAAAGGAAAAAAUAUUUUUAGAAUGGUAGUUUAGUAAUUUUGGUAUGGUUAGCAUGGGUUAUACCGGCAUCCCAUAGUUUAUUUGAUUAUUUUAUUUUAUUAGGAUUGAUUUUAGUAGUUUAUUUAUUUAUUUUGUCAAACUUCUAUUAGUUUUAGCUUCUAAUUUGUUUAGGCAAAAGAAUUGUAUUCCUACUAUGACAUAGUCUUAGGAAAAAAAAUUUAAGAGUUUAUACAAACCUAUGUAGUCUUUCAGAUUUAUAAGUAGCUAUUAGCUUCUUUGAAAGGUGUAGUCUUCUCCAAGUGAAAUUGCUUAGGAACCUUAGGUGUGAAUGAUUUUUUUCUCCUUCUUUUAGUUUUUCCCAAUGCCUCUCAUCUCAUUCUGCAACUCAGAGAAACUUCCUUGGUGCUGGAAAUUUAACAAUCUUGCACCAAACUAGGCAUUAGAUCCUACAAACAGAACUAUAUCAAUUACAAGUGGUUAAAGUUUUGAGGGAAAUUCAGUGGAUCAACAACAUGAUGAUAAAUGUGAUGAUUGCUCCAAUGAAAUUGGAAUUUUGAAGAUUAGAGGCAUAAUCCUAUAUUUCAAACCAUUGUAUGUUGUGGCAAUAAUUCUUAAUGGAGUACAAAGGAAUAAAUAAUUUCUCUCUAUUUUGAAUCUCCAAAUGAGUAGAGUGCAAAUAAAUGCAUACAAGGGCUAACAACGAUAUAUCUAAUUUAGGACACAAUCAUGAAACCUAAUUAUAAGGCAAUUAUCUAGGAAUGAAAUAAAGGAAAGAAAUAAAAUAGAGAACUAUACAAAAUCAAUCACAAUAUUUACAGACAAUCAUUGCUAAUAAGAUCUGGUAAAAUUUAUCAAAUCUUCCAACAAAGUAAAAUGGGGCAAAAAGUCCUAUUAAAUGUCACCAAAGGAAAUAUAAGAAAACUGACAACAAAAUCUGUCUUAAGUUCGAAAACAAUCUAAAACAAAUACUGCUCUACUUGAAUAAAUUGUAUUAGAAGACAAUCUAUACAUCCUAUUUAUACACAAUUAAGGAUCAAAUUCACCUACCACCUGUCAUCCAACAAUCUCUCAUGAAUUAGAAUCUACUAAAGAAAAAAUUAAAGAAACAAAUAUAAUUAAUACAAAAUCAUUUGAUUGACUAGGAUCACAAUCAAAUUCUUAAGAACCUACCAAGACUCCCCCUCAAGCUAGAGAAUAGAUGUUAUCCAUUCCCAACUUGCAUGUAAUUAUUUGAAACUAGUGACUGACGAAUUCUUAAUCAACACAUCUACAAGUUGCCCCUUUGUUUAAAUAUAAGGUGCAUUGAUCAAAACACCAUCAAGUUUUUCUUGAUCUACUUCUACAUGUUUUGUUCGAUCAUCUUGUACUGGAUUGUGAGCAAUAUUGAUUUUUGAUUUGUUGUUACAAUAUAACUUCAUUGUCCCUUCCCACUUCAUUUCUAGAUCAUCAAGGAUAAUAUUUAUCCAUAAUAACUUACAAAUCUCAUAUGCUAUAGCUUUGAACUCUAACUACACUUGAUCAAGCCACCAUGGAUUGCUUCUUACUUCUCCAUGACACUACGUUGCCACCUUAGAGCCUGUACAAUAAUUGGAGGUAGAUCACCGAUCUACCAUUGAUCCUACCCAAUCCGGAUGAAAUUAUGCAUCUGGUCUUAACUCUUCAUUUUUCUUAAAGAAAAUUCCAUUUCUAGAGCAGAUUUUAAGUAAAGUAGAAUAUUGUAUAGCACCUCUAAAUGAACUUUUCUAGUUUAUGAUCUUAUUCAAUAUGGGUGUCAAUAAGCUUACAAUCAAGCAUACUUGUCUACUUAAGAAGAUCCAAUAUAUACUUCUGUUGAGAGAUAAAAAUAUUCUUCCUUGACUAGGCCACUUCAACCCCCAAAAAGUAAUUGAGUCUUCCCAAGUUGUUUAUCUCAAACUCUUUAGCUAGUUUCUUCUCGAGUCUUUCUAUUUCCUCUAAGUCAUCUCUUGUCACAAUUUUUUCAUCAACAUAAAUUAUGACAACAGUAAGUUUACCCAUAUGUGAGCAUUUGAUGAAUGGUGUAUGAUCUUCUUAGCUUUGUCAAAACUCUUUAUUAUUCAUGGCUUUCACAAAUCUUUCAAACCAUGCUCAAGGAGAUUGUUUUAGGCCAUAAAGCACCUUUCUUAGUCUACACAAAAAUUGUUUCUCUUUAAGUCUCCAUUGAAACCCGAUGGUGUUUCCAUAUACACUUUUUCUUCAAAAUCACCAUGCAAAAAUGCAUUCCUAACAUUAAGUUGCUGUAAAGACCAACCAAAUUUAGGUGUCAAGGAUAGUAAUAUAUGAAAGGUAUUCAUCUUUGCUGCUAGAAUAAAGGUUUUUUAGUAGUUCACCCCAUAAGUUUGCAUAUCCCCUGGGCCAUGAGCCUAGCCUUAUAUCUCUCCAAUGUCCCAUCAGCUCUCUACUUAACUGUGAACACUCAUUUACAUCCAACCAGUUUUUUCCCUUCGGUAAUUCAACUAUUUCCCAAGUUUGGUUUUUUUUCAAGAGCUAACAUCUCUUCCAUGGAUUUCCCCCAAUUCUCUUUUCGAAGUGCUUCUUGAACUAUUUGAGAAAUUUCAAUAGGAGUUUGUUAGGUAAGGAAGGCACUGUCAUAGGGAUAGCUUUUCAAAUGAAAUGAAAUGAAAUUGGAAACCAGGGGUUAAGUGCAUUUUCCGAUGGCUUUCCUAAGGGCAAUUGGUAAAUGGAGAUCAAGAACACUUCUCAAUCUUUGUUUUGAACAAAUAGAUCAUGAGUUUCUGGUGAGAGCAACAAAUUUGAAGCAAUAGGAGACAUAACACUAGAAAUAGAUUGGUGGAGUUUGUGUGUUCAUUACUAGGCUUGGAUUCAGACUCUCGAGCUUGUAUUCAAUCAAGUCAUAAUUGUUUCUGCCUAGAAUAAGCAUGCACUGGCAUGACAGCCGCAUUAACUACCCCUUGAUCUGUCUCUUAUGACGAUUCUUGACCAGGUGACAAGGAUGUAGAACCUAUAGGUGAGACCUUUUGUGCAGGUGGCAUAGAUUCAGAAAGUUCAAGCAGAUCAUAAGAGAGAAACUUAUCUUCACCUAAGCCCUCCCCUUGGAGAUAAGUAUUAGGAAAAAAUCAUUAUUUUCAACAAAAAUGACAUCCAUGGUGGUGAAAAAUUUUUCAGCAGAAUGCAAGAUUAUAACAUUUAUAACUCCUUUUAGUUGGAGAGUAUCCCCCACAAAUAUAGUAUCCCACAAAUACACAUUUUAGAGCUCGAGGAUCAAAUUUGCUGCAAUUUAGAGGAUAGAUAUGGACAAAUAACACGCAACCAAAGACUUAGAGAGGAAGUUCACGGGAGUUUUUGAAAGGUGGGAAAAAAUUUUGGGAGUGUCUAAUGAAGCUUUAUUUUCAAGCACUUUUGUGGGUAGUUGGUUAAUCAAAAUAGUGCAAUUAGGACAACUUCUCGUCAAUAUGAUUUAGGCAUAAUUUUAUAAAAAAGUAGGGUCAAGUGAUUUGACUUCUAAUAGAUCCUUGAUUUUUUGUUUAUCCAUUUCAUUUUGUUGGAAUUAAUACAUUAAGACUUAUACAAUCCCUUCUUUUUCGAGAAAGGGAAAUAACAUCUAAGUAAAGUACUCUUUCCUAUUUUUAGAUCUAAUGUUUUUUAUCUUAACUCUAAACUAUGUGAUAACCAUUUUGCGGAAAAGAGGAAACACAAAACUAACAUUUGAUUUGUUUUUAAUGAGGAAUAACCAAUUCACCCUAGUACAAUCAUCAAUAAAGAACACAAACCACUUUGCUCCUGAAAAAACUUGGGAUUUGAGACGAUCCCCAAACAUCAAUAUGAAUUAACAAAAAAGAGAAUAUUGAUUUUGUAUUACUUAAAGGAAACGGAACAUGAUGAUGUUUAGCUAAUUGACAAACCUCACAAUGAAAACUGUUAACAUUCAAUUUAUUGAAUGACAAGGAAACAUUUUUUUAGCAAAGAAAAUGAUGGACACCCUAGAUGAAGAUGAUGCAACCAUAUUUGGGCUUUAUUCAAUGAGAAUUUUUAAAAAAUAAAAAAUAAAAGCGUGACAUAUGAUCACCAUUGCCAAAACUAGAUUCAAGCAGGUACAAACCCAUCUUGUUCCUUAGCAUGUCCAAUCAUCCUCCCCAUGGCUCGGUCUUGGAUCACAUAAUGAGAUGGGAAAAAGGUUAUGGUAUAAUUCAAAUCUUUAGUAGUUUAAUGAAUUGCCAAGAGGUUAGUUGAAAUUUUUGGAACAGGUGACAUGAAUUUUAAUGUGAGAGACAAUGUUAAGGCAACUUUUCCUUGGCACAAAAUGCUGCUAGUGUCUUAUCGGCAACUUUAAUUUUUUUAUCCCCAAAAUAUGGAUUAUUAGAAGUGAAACAGUGUGAAGAAUAAGUCAUAUGAUCAGUAGCACUUAAGUCAAGGACCCAUGUACUUGGAAAAUAGUCCUUUGAAAUACUAAGAACAUGAGAAAUAGGAUACUUACCUGAUUAAGUUAGAGAGCAUGAAGUAAUAGGCUUAUCCAUUAAAGUUAGAAGGCUACGAAGCCUCUCAAUCUCCUCUUUGCUUAAUCUAUCAGCAUCUAAAUCAUUAGAAGCUGAGACUUCUUACUAGGAAUUCUCUUAAGAUCGAGUAAUAUUGGGUUGGCCACUCCGAUGUCCAAAUUGUGCAUAUCAAUUUUCGCUCCCUCUACCAUAUGAUUGCAGCUUUCCAUAGAGUUUCCAGCAGGCCUCCUUGGUUUUUUGCAAUAGAUACAUCAUAAGCCAUCUUUAUUCACUGGUGAUCUGGAUAUUUCACUUCCUUCAUAAUUGUUGUUUGGCAAUGUAGAGUUUGGCUUCAUAGUGGUAAGAGUUGAGCCUUCUGUUGUUAGUGUCAAGCAUAACACUCCUUCCUUCUCCUGCUCUUAUAAUGGAGAAGACUUUAUUUAGUGGAGGUAGAUCUUCCUUUCCAAGGACUUAAACCUUAACUUGAUCGUAUUCCACAUUGAAAUCUCACUAAGAAAUUAAAUAUCCUUUCUCUUUCAACAUAUGUGAGCAUGAUUGCAGCAUCUUCACCGCGCUUCAUCUUAAUCUUAUGACAAUAAUCUAAUUCGAGCCAUAAGGUUUUCAUGAUAUUGUAGUAUUCAAUAACAAAAAAAGUACCUUACUUGGUAGCACCAAUAUUGGAAUUUAUUUCAUAGAUGUGGGCAGCAUCCCUCACUUUAGAGUAUUUUGCCUAAUAGUCUCCCAAAUAUCACUAACCAUCAUCAAGAAUAUGCACAUCCCACUGACCUCUAGUUGCAUUGAAUUCCAUAGCCAUGACAUAAUCAUCAAGUCCUCUUCAUCUGAAACAGUAAACUUUGGAUCGUCUCACUCAAGACAAGUCCAAUUAGAUGACUCAAUUUUCCUUUUCCCUUAAAAAACAUUUGUACAAGUUGAGACCACACCAGGUAAUCGCAGUCAUUGGGUUGAUUCGAUUAUGCAGAUUUUGAUAUUCUACAUAAAGGUUUUUGCUAGUCAGGUUAGGAGCAAAGUUUGAAGACUAGAUGAUUUCUAAUCCAUCAAACAUAUUAGAGCUAAUCAGAAACAAUUUUUGUAAAUUUGACUUAAACCUUAACUUGAUCGUAUUCCACAUUGAAAUCUCACUAAGAAAUUAAAUAUCCUUUCUCUUUCAACAUAUGUGAGCAUGAUUGCAGCAUCUUCACCGCGCUUCAUCUUAAUCUUAUGACAAUAAUCUAAUUCGAGCCAUAAGGUUUUCAUGAUAUUGUAGUAUUCAAUAACAAAAAAAGUACCUUACUUGGUAGCACCAAUAUUGGAAUUUAUUUCAUAGAUGUGGGCAGCAUCCCUCACUUUAGAGUAUUUUGCCUAAUAGUCUCCCAAAUAUCACUAACCAUCAUCAAGAAUAUGCACAUCCCACUGACCUCUAGUUGCAUUGAAUUCCAUAGCCAUGACAUAAUCAUCAAGUCCUCUUCAUCUGAAACAGUAAACUUUGGAUCGUCUCACUCAAGACAAGUCCAAUUAGAUGACUCAAUUUUCCUUUUCCCUUAAAAAACAUUUGUACAAGUUGAGACCACACCAGGUAAUCGCAGUCAUUGGGUUGAUUCGAUUAUGCAGAUUUUGAUAUUCUACAUAAAGGUUUUUGCUAGUCAGGUUAGGAGCAAAGUUUGAAGACUAGAUGAUUUCUAAUCCAUCAAACAUAUUAGAGCUAAUCAGAAACAAUUUUUGUAAAUUUGAGAUAGAAGAAAAUUUAUGAGGCUAUGUGGACUAAAAUUCAAAGGAAGGAGAUGGAGACCAACAAGUUCUACUACUACUAGCAAUGAAGGCCAUACAAGUGUGGUGAAAUUCUCAAUGAUUAAGGCUGAGAAUAGGAAAAACUUAGGGUGCAAAAGAGAGCCCUAGCUCUGAUACCAUGAAACAAAUUCUAUUCUAAUUGAAUUGUAUUAGAAUACAAUCUAUACAUCCUAUUUAUACACAAUUAGGGAUCAGAUUCACCUAUAAUCUCUCUUGUAAAUCACGGAUUAGAUUCACCUACCACUUAUCAUCCUACAAUCUCUCCCAUAAGUAAGAUUCUACCAAAGAAAAAAGAAAAGAAAUAAAUACAACUAAUGCAAAAUCAUUUGAUUGACUAGGAUCAUAAUCAUAUUCACAAUCUGAAAACUCUUUUCUUUUCUCUUUUAUUAUAUUACAACAAAGUAAAAAAAAAAAAUGGUUGUCUUUGGCAAAAAUUUGAUUGACAUUGAGAAAAUCCAUUGGUUUUUAAGGUGUUGGAUGAUAGUACACAUUGGUCAACCGUGUUCUAAACUUUUGUCCUUUUAUUGGAAAAUGGAAUUGAAGCUUAAGAAUGUAAAACAUUGUGUUUAAAACAUUUAGAUCAAUUUUUAUCAAACUAAAGGAUAAUAAUUUAAGCUGAACCAAGAUUUUUUUAGUCUUGUCCGAUCGAUUGGACUUCAAUCACAUCUAU